Molecule: non-coding RNA, 181 nt
Organism: Cordylochernes scorpioides
Lineage: Eukaryota; Metazoa; Arthropoda; Arachnida; Pseudoscorpiones; Chernetidae
Source: the annotation of a GenBank genome assembly
UGCCGAAACCCGGGAUCGAACCAGGGACCUUUAGAUAUCACUGAUAGACAAAACUUAAGGAAGUUGUACCUUAUAGCAUAUAUAUAUCGGGAUUCAGAAAAUAACUCUGAGAGAUAUUUGAUGCACAGUGAUAUAUAUCAGUGUAUUCAGUCUAAUGCUCUCCUAACUGAGCUAUUUGGGC